AGUGAAUACAGCGAUCAGGUUGGUUCCACCAUGCUAAUCAUAGCCACCAUUGAUAAUGCAAUCAGUACUAAUCAGUAAUCAGUACUGUGUGUGUUUGUGUGUGACCGACCAGUAUCUUUGAUGAGGACACAGAAGAUGAUCUACGCUGCCAUGCCCAUAAAUGGGGUGCUGGCAAAGAGCUCAACGUUGUCGAUGGGGAGACCAGAAUUAGAUGCGUCAAUGGAGCCAGCACUUGCAAACUUGCAAGAUGAUGUGAUGGAGUCCUGACCGACAGACAGGCUUGAUGCUGAUGUCUCUGAAUGGAGACAGGCCUUGCAUUUAACACUUCCACAAUGUGGGACUGAAGGUGAUUACUGAUAAUACAGUACAUCAGAAAUGUCCAGUAUUUGCAACACCUUUUCCAUUCCUUCACUGAUGUCACUGAUGAGUCACUGAUGAACUCUGCCUCAACCUUGCCUAUUUUUACAGAUGGAUAGGGCUGUAGAUGCUUUUUCCAGACGCCAUCCUCGGUUGUUUGAUGGGGAGACUCAUAAUUGGAUAGGUUUUAUCUGACCUGUUCAAACUUCAACAUAGUACCUGUUUGUGUGUCAGAUAUGACCUAUACUAACUGCCAUUGGUAAUAGAACAGUGACUUAAUGUGUAUGUGUUCACAGAAACAUGUAUGGAACCAGCACAUAGAGACUUGAUGAUGUGAUGACUGACAUACGGCUUGAUUCUGAUGUCUGUGAAUGGAAAGAGACCUGGCACUCGGCAUUAAAGUUUUAAUAGACACAA
This is a long non-coding RNA of Oncorhynchus kisutch (coho salmon), 774 nucleotides long. RefSeq lists it as uncharacterized. The record is from RefSeq and is a predicted model, not a curated record. NCBI's taxonomy places the organism in Eukaryota, Metazoa, Chordata, Actinopteri, Salmoniformes, Salmonidae. The transcript is spliced from 2 exons.